UAACACCAGCGCCACAAGUGGCAACCGAUUUUAUUGGGCCUAAAGCGUCCGUAGCCGGUCCAGUAAAUUUCCUGUGAAAUCGUUGGGCCUAACUUAACGACGUGCAGGAAAGACUACUGGACUUGGGACCGGGAGGCGUCAGAGGUAUUCCUGAGGGAGCGGUAAAAUGCUAUAAUCUCAGGAGGACCCCCUGUGGCGAAGGCGUCUGACGAGAACGGAUUCGACGGUGAGGGACGAAAGCCAGGGGAGCGAACCGGAUUAGAUACCCGAGUAGUCCUGGCUGUAAACGCUACGAGCUAGGUGUUGCAUAUUCUUCGGGAAUGUGCAGUGUCGGAGCGAAGGUGUUAAGCUCGCCGCCUGGGAAGUAUGGUUGCAAGACUG
RNAcentral lists this ribosomal RNA (381 nucleotides) under uncultured euryarchaeote. RNAcentral's name for it is "bacterial SSU rRNA". It matches the Rfam family "Archaeal small subunit ribosomal RNA", at positions 471 to 851 of the family's 1478-position model. The record is from RNAcentral. Lineage: Archaea; Methanobacteriati; Methanobacteriota.